AACAAAAGAAUAAAUUUCUUUGCUUGUUUUUCUUCAGUUUGAACAGAAAAUCGUAAAAAAUAUCGAGUGCUGAUAUAGGACAAGAUGCCAGCAGUAUGCGGCGCCGCCAUCUUUCCGAAUCCAACAUGUUCUAAGCAAUCGUUGGAUACUCAAAUGCAUUUCAAUGUGGAUACUCAAAUGAUCUUGGCUGCUGUCAAAUCCAUUAGGUGGGAUUGGAGUUGCCAUAUACGUGACAAGAUGCAGAUACCAUCGAUGUUGGACAGUGGAUCCAUUUCAACGGUCGUAGUUACGAGUAUGGCCAGACGUGACAGCCGGCUCCUUGAGUUUUCAGCAGCGCAACCGAUCAAUUAUCAGUAAUAUAACCGGGACUAAGUUGACUAACAAAACCAGAACAGCCAAACCAGCAGGAUUAUUACCGGUGAGAACAUUUUCGGAAGCUGAUACUUCCGGAAGUUGCCGAACGUUACAACCUGGGAAAACAUUCAAUCAACGCCCACAGUGUUUAAGAAAAAAUGUUAAAUAGUUGGUAAGGAAAAGUAGUGAAUAAUAAAACUGAAAAUUGAA
Molecule: long non-coding RNA, 564 nt
Organism: Aedes aegypti (yellow fever mosquito)
Lineage: Eukaryota; Metazoa; Arthropoda; Insecta; Diptera; Culicidae
Exons: 2
Source: RefSeq, a predicted model, not a curated record